This 409-nucleotide ribosomal RNA is filed under the name bacterium. RNAcentral's name for it is "partial 16S ribosomal RNA". It matches the Rfam family "Bacterial small subunit ribosomal RNA", at positions 355 to 776 of the family's 1533-position model. The record is from RNAcentral.
UGGGGAAUAUUGCACAAUGGGCGAAAGCCUGAUGCAGCGACGCCGCGUGAGGGAUGACGGCCUUCGGGUUGUAAACCUCUUUCAGCAGGGACGAAGCGCAAGUGACGGUACCUGCAGAAGAAGCACCGGCUAACUACGUGCCAGCAGCCGCGGUAAUACGUAGGGUGCAAGCGUUGUCCGGAAUUACUGGGCGUAAAGAGUUCGUAGGCGGUUUGUCGCGUCGUUUGUGAAAACCAGCAGCUCAACUGCUGGCUUGCAGGCGAUACGGGCAGACUUGAGUACUGCAGGGGAGACUGGAAUUCCUGGUGUAGCGGUGAAAUGCGCAGAUAUCAGGAGGAACACCGGUGGCGAAGGCGGGUCUCUGGGCAGUAACUGACGCUGAGGAACGAAAGCGUGGGUAGCGAACAAG